GACGAACGCUGGCGGCGUGCUUAACACAUGCGAGUCGAACGGAAAGGCCCUGCUUUUGUGGGGUGCUCGAGUGGCGAACGGGUGAGUAACACGUGAGUAACCUGCCCUUGACUUUGGGAUAACUUCAGGAAACUGGGGCUAAUACCGGAUAGGAGCUCCUGCUGCAUGGUGGGGGUUGGAAAGUUUCGGCGGUUGGGGAUGGACUCGCGGCUUAUCAGCUUGUUGGUGGGGUAGUGGCUUACCAAGGCUUUGACGGGUAGCCGGCCUGAGAGGGUGACCGGCCACAUUGGGACUGAGAUACGGCCCAGACUCCUACGGGAGGCAGCAGUGGGGAAUAUUGCACAAUGGGCGGAAGCCUGAUGCAGCAACGCCGCGUGCGGGAUGACGGCCUUCGGGCUGUGAACCGCUUUCGCCUGUGACGAAGCGUGAGUGACGGUAAUGGGUAAAGAAGCACCGGCUAACUACGUG
This 468-nucleotide ribosomal RNA is filed under the name uncultured bacterium. RNAcentral's name for it is "partial 16S ribosomal RNA". It matches the Rfam family "Bacterial small subunit ribosomal RNA", at positions 28 to 507 of the family's 1533-position model. The record is from RNAcentral.